ACAGCAGUCGCCACGGUAAUACGGAGGAUCCAAGCGUUAUCCGGAAUCAUUGGGUUUAAAGGGUCCGUAGGCGGUCUUGUAAGUCAGUGGUGAAAGCCCAUCGCUCAACGGUGGAACGGCCAUUGAUACUGCAGGACUUGAAUUAUUGGGAAGUAACUAGAAUAUGUAGUGUAGCGGUGAAAUGCUUAGAGAUUACAUGGAAUACCAAUUGCGAAGGCAGGUUACUACCAAUUGAUUGACGCUGAUGGACGAAAGCGUGGGUAGCGAACAGGAUUAGAUACCCCCGUAGUCCCUGUCUCUUAUAC
This 305-nucleotide ribosomal RNA is filed under the name uncultured bacterium. RNAcentral's name for it is "partial 16S ribosomal RNA". It matches the Rfam family "Bacterial small subunit ribosomal RNA", at positions 505 to 807 of the family's 1533-position model. The record is from RNAcentral.